Molecule: non-coding RNA, 74 nt
Organism: Merluccius polli (Benguela hake)
Lineage: Eukaryota; Metazoa; Chordata; Actinopteri; Gadiformes; Merlucciidae
Source: the annotation of a GenBank genome assembly
GGCCGGUUUAGCCUCAGUUGGUUAGAGGUGGUGCUAAUAACGCCAAGGUCACAGGUUCAACCCUGAACGGGCCA